This 275-nucleotide ribosomal RNA is filed under the name uncultured prokaryote. RNAcentral's name for it is "partial 16S ribosomal RNA". It matches the Rfam family "Bacterial small subunit ribosomal RNA", at positions 524 to 798 of the family's 1533-position model. The record is from RNAcentral.
UACGUAGGGUCCGAGCGUUGUCCGGAAUUAUUGGGCGUAAAGAGCUCGUAGGCGGUAUGUCGCGUCUGCUGUGAAAGACCGGGGCUUAACUUCGGUUUUGCAGUGGAUACGGGCAUGCUUGAGGUAGGUAGGGGAGACUGGAAUUCCUGGUGUAGCGGUGAAAUGCGUAGAUAUCAGGAGGAACACCGGUGGCGAAGGCGGGUCUCUGGGCCUUACCUGACGCUGAGGAGCGGAAGCAUGGGUAGCCAACAGGAUUAGAUACCCUGGUAGUCCCU